Molecule: ribosomal RNA, 430 nt
Filed under: uncultured Alphaproteobacteria bacterium
Lineage: Bacteria; Pseudomonadati; Pseudomonadota; Alphaproteobacteria
Description: bacterial SSU rRNA
Rfam family: Bacterial small subunit ribosomal RNA
Source: RNAcentral
AACGCGAAGAACCUUACCAGCCCUUGACAUCCCGGUCGCGGGAACGAGAGAUCGAUCCCUUCAGUUCGGCUGGACCGGAGACAGGUGCUGCAUGGCUGUCGUCAGCUCGUGUCGUGAGAUGUUGGGUUAAGUCCCGCAACGAGCGCAACCCUCGCCCUUAGUUGCCAUCAUUCAGUUGGGCCCUCUAAGGGGACUGCCGGUGAUAAGCCGCGAGGAAGGUGGGGAUGACGUCAAGUCCUCAUGGCCCUUACGGGCUGGGCUACACACGUGCUACAAUGGCGGUGACAAUGGGACGCAAUGGGGCAACCCUGCGCAAAUCUCAAAAAGCCGUCUCAGUUCGGAUUGUGCUCUGCAACUCGAGCACAUGAAGUUGGAAUCGCUAGUAAUCGCAGAUCAGCACGCUGCGGUGAAUACGUUCCCGGGCCUUGUA